UAGGGAAUCUUCGGCAAUGGACGAAAGUCUGACCGAGCAACGCCGCGUGAGUGAAGAAGGUUUUCGGAUCGUAAAACUCUGUUGUUAGAGAAGAACAAGGACGUUAGUAACUGAACGUCCCCUGACGGUAUCUAACCAGAAAGCGACGGCUAACUACGUGCCAGCAGCCGCGGUAAUACGCAGGUGGCAAGCGUUGUCCGGAUUUAUUGGGCGUAAAGCGAGCGCAGGCGGUUUCUUAAGUCUGAUGUGAAAGACCCCGGCUCAACCGGGGAGGGUCAUUGGAAACUGGGAGACUUGAGUGCAGAAGAGGAGAUUGGAAUUCCAUGUGUAGCGGUGAAAUGCGUAGAUAUAUGGAGGAACACCAGUGGCGAAGGCGGCUCACUGGUCUGUAACUGACGCUGAGGCUCGAAAGCGUGGGGAGCAAACAGG
This 429-nucleotide ribosomal RNA is filed under the name Gemmatimonadota bacterium. RNAcentral describes it as "Gemmatimonadetes bacterium partial 16S ribosomal RNA". It matches the Rfam family "Bacterial small subunit ribosomal RNA", at positions 355 to 776 of the family's 1533-position model. Lineage: Bacteria; Pseudomonadati; Gemmatimonadota. The record is from RNAcentral.